GUCAAUCUUCCGAAAAGGAGAAGAAAGCAAAAUUGAAAGUGAUUGGGUAAAGGACCCAUAAAAUUGAAUGGUUUUCCAACCGCUCGGGGACGCCUUACAUCAAAAUUACAACCACCCCCUCCCCAUCUCCGCCCUGAUUUACACCUGGAGAUGCUCCCCAAACACAUGGGGAAAAUGGUGAUUCGGACGAGGUCAUAAGUUGGGAAAACGAAACAACAUAUGACAAAGCUGUAAGGUUUACCGUUGGUUGCCUCUCCUCUCUGCCUUUCUUUUUUUCAUUUUGUUUUCUUUUGUUUUUUUUGCAAGUGGUAAUCAAUGCUUCAAUGAACGAUUGUAAUGUUUAGUGCUUUUCGCAAGUGGGAAGGAAAAAUAAUUUAACGAUAGGAUGAUUCCAUUGUUCCAUUCAAGCCAG
RNAcentral lists this long non-coding RNA (412 nucleotides) under Ricinus communis (castor bean). RNAcentral's name for it is "long non-coding RNA (RCOM_LNC003152)". The record is from RNAcentral. Lineage: Eukaryota; Viridiplantae; Streptophyta; Magnoliopsida; Malpighiales; Euphorbiaceae.